AAAAGGUCUUGUAAGCAGAGAAAUAAGGCUGAGGUCUCACAUGGCCUCAUAUCCAAAGGUUUUAUUCAUCUGUGAAACAAACCAUGUUCAUGAAUCAGCUUCCUCAGCAAUAAUACAUGCAAAAUAAGACUUGCAUUAAAACAGAAAAGAAGAUAUCUCAAGCUGUUGAGAUCCAAUCUUUUUUUUGCUGACUGUAAAGACUUCUACCUUCUGAAGAGUCAAUUGGACUUGACAGAGUACAAGCUCAAGAGGAUAAGCAAUUAUUCGGUGCCUUUUGUGUUUCUGCUCUUCAAAUGCUUACACAAGCAGCUCUACAUCAGAGAACAGCACAGCAGCUCACCAUAGUGCGUGCAGAAGGAAUAUCAAAUGAAAGAAGGAGACUGUCCAGAAGUGGAUGUCCCCUGGGACCCAGAGGAAACCAUGAUAAAAGAGCAAGUUUUCAGAAUCAGCAUGGCCAGAGCUGCUCCAGUUUGUACACCACCUUCAGCCUGGGGCUGUUUUAAGCUUUAUUGGCUAAUGUCUGCAGGGCAAACAAAUGCUGAGGUCCAGCCAGAUUCCAUGUACAUGUACCUUCAUCACUAGAAAUUCUCUUUGACUGGUUUCCAUCUUCCAGGCAAGGAUUUCAGAUAACUUUGAUUCAUUGGAUGAAUGUUGUGCUUAUUGCCUCAGUUAUACUGACCAAUGUGGGGAAAGCAAAGUGAAGAACAACCAGGAAUUCAAGACAUGACUCCAAAGAAAGAUAAUCUAGUAACAAGCUCUCCCUUUUGCCUAAAAGCAGAAUCAUUUUUUGAAAAACACAUGAUAUGUUUAUAAGUAUAUUGGCUUAAAGGAUUUCAAGUAAGACAGAAAAAGAUUCAUUUGAGAAUAUUUGUGGUUUUGGAGUGAGUUAGAUUCUUGGAAGCAUUUUAGACAAGUAGAUUCAAGCUCAGUUCUGUUGAUGCUGAAGUACCACUCAGAAAGUUCAGAGAAUUUCCCAGGAAAACUUAAUGCAUGAAUCCACUCCAGAUCAAAGUGCCUGUGUCUUUACUGACAGCAGUUCUAAGAGCCUUUUGGAGUUCUAGUUCCAUA
Vidua chalybeata is the source of this 1068-nucleotide long non-coding RNA. RefSeq lists it as uncharacterized. The record is from RefSeq and is a predicted model, not a curated record. NCBI's taxonomy places the organism in Eukaryota, Metazoa, Chordata, Aves, Passeriformes, Viduidae. The transcript has 8 exons.